UUGGGGGAGUCCAUCAGCUCCUCUCAAAGGAAGAACACAGUUACCCUUGGAAGCACCUUUUUUUUUUUUUUGACUCACAUCCACAAAUUCUGUGGUCAGCUUAAAGGCUGAUGUCUCAAAGCCCAGGUUUCGGGGUGAGCUGGAAAGGAUGAAGCCAAAGUCGAUGUGAAUGAUGUGACCUUCUGCGUCCAGAAGGAUGUUCCCAUUGUGCCUGCGGAAGAGGCGACAUGACUUUUUUGGAUAAGUUUUUAAAAAUGUAUUUUUCACCUUUUAAAACUCAGAACAUAACAAAUUCCACUUACUGGAAAUUCAUACUAUUAGAAAUCCCUGAAGUACAUUUAAUAAAAAGAGGAAGUAAUCGAGCAAGGAGAGCUGUGACUGUUUCUUCACCUGGUGGAUGGACACAGCGUUGACUACUGGUUCAAUCAUGCCACUGUCAGCUGAAAUCACAAGAAUCUUAUAUGGCUUGAUCCAAAGAGGCACUCGCUCCUGUUCCCAAAUGGACUGUGAAAAGACACAAAGGUAUUGAGAGUGGCUCAUUUUUCUUCAAAC
This 552-nucleotide long non-coding RNA is filed under the name Mus pahari (shrew mouse). Its description in RNAcentral is "predicted gene 15265 (MGP_PahariEiJ_G0003485.1)". The record is from RNAcentral. Lineage: Eukaryota; Metazoa; Chordata; Mammalia; Rodentia; Muridae.